RNAcentral lists this long non-coding RNA (505 nucleotides) under Prunus persica (peach). RNAcentral describes it as "long non-coding RNA (PPER_LNC005285)". The record is from RNAcentral. Lineage: Eukaryota; Viridiplantae; Streptophyta; Magnoliopsida; Rosales; Rosaceae.
ACCCACCAAAUGACUCCUCCCAAAAUAUUAUGAUAUUCCCCAAGUUUUGGACUCAAUCCGUUAUCGUUUGGUCAAUGAAAUUGGACAAUUCAGGUUCGUACGAAGUUCGUUCUGAAAUGGGGUGGUUGGUGUAUUGUAUAGUUCUAGAGAUUGGAUUUCACUCAAAACCCACCAAAAGACUCCUCCCAAAAUAUUAUGAUGUUCCCCAAGUUUUGGACUCAAUCCGUUAUCGAUUGGUCAAUGAAAUCGAACAAUUCAGGUUCGUACGAUGUUCGUUCUGAAAUGGGGUGGUUGGUGUAUUGUAUAGUUCUAGAGAUUGGAUUUCACUCAAAACCCACCAAAACACUCCUCCCAAAAUAUUAUGAUAUUCCCCAAGUUUUGGACUCAAUCCGUUAUCGUUUGGUCAAUGAAAUUGGACAAUUCAGGUUCGUACGAAGUUCGUUCUGAAAUGGGGUGGUUGGUGUAUUGUAUAGUUCUAGAGAUUGGAUUUCACUCAAAACCCACC